This 1498-nucleotide ribosomal RNA is filed under the name uncultured Bordetella sp. RNAcentral's name for it is "partial 16S-23S ribosomal RNA intergenic spacer". It matches the Rfam family "Bacterial small subunit ribosomal RNA". The record is from RNAcentral. Lineage: Bacteria; Pseudomonadati; Pseudomonadota; Betaproteobacteria; Burkholderiales; Alcaligenaceae.
GGUUUGAAAGUCAUGGCUCAGAUUGAACGCUGGCGGGAUGCUUUACACAUGCAAGUCGAACGGCGGCACGGACUUCGGUCUGGUGGCGAGUGGCGAACAGGUGAGUAAUGUAUCGGAACGUGCCUAGUAGCGGGGGAUAACUACGCGAAAGCGUAGCUAAUACCGCAUACGCCCUUCGAGGAAAGCAGGGGACAGCACAGGGCCUCGCACUAUUAGAGCAGCCGAUAUCGGAUUAGCUAGUUGGUGGGGGUAACGGCUCACCAAGGCGACGAUCCGUAGCUGGUUUGAGAGGACGACCAGCCACACUGGGACUGAGACACGGCCCAGACUCCUACGGGAGGCAGCAGUGGGGAAUUUUGGACAAUGGGGGAAACCCUGAUCCAGCCAUCCCGCGUGUGCGAUGAAGGCCUUCGGGUUGUAAAGCACUUUUGGCAGGAAAGAAACGGCACGGGAUAAUACCCCGUGCAACUGACGGUACCUGCAGAAUAAGCACCGGCUAACUACGUGCCAGCAGCCGCGGUAAUACGUAGGGUGCAAGCGUUAAUCGGAAUUACUGGGCGUAAGCGUGCGCAGGCGGUUCGGAAAGAAAGAUGUGAAAUCCCAGAGCUUAACUUUGGAACUGCAUUUUAACUACCGAGCUAGAGUGUGUCAGAGGGAGGUGGAAUUCCGCGUGUAGCAGAAGUGAAAUGCGUAGAUAUGCGGAGGCACCGAUGGCGAAGGCAGCCUCCUGGGAUAACACUGACGCUCAUGCACGAAAGCGGUAAGGGGAGCAAACAGGAUUAGAUACCCUGGUAGUCCACGCCCUAAACGAUGUCAACUAGCUGUUGGGGCCUUCGGGCCUUGGUAGCGCAGCUAACGCGUGUAGAAGUUGACCGCCUGGGAGUACAGUCGCAAGAUUAAAACUCAAAGGAAUUGACGGGGACCCGCACAAGCGGUGGAUGAUGUGGAUUAAUUCGAUGCAACGCGAAAAACCUUACCUACCCUUGACAUGUCUGGAAUCCCGAAGAAGAGAUUUGGGAGUGCUCGCAAGAGAACCGGAACACAGGUGCUGCAUGGCUGUCGUCAGCUCGUGUCGUGAGAUGUUGGGUUAAGUCCCGCAACGAGCGCAACCCUUGUCAUUAGUUGCUACGAAAGGGCGCUCUAAUGAGACUGCCGGUGACAAACCGGAGGAAGGUGGGGAUGACGUCGAAGUCCUCAUGGCCCUUAUGGGUGAGGGCUUCACACGUCAUACAAUGGUCGGGACAGAGGGUCGCCAACCCGCGAGGAGCCAAUCCCAGAAACCCGAUCGUAGUCCGGAUCGCAGUCUGCAACUCGACUGCGUGAAGUCGGAAUCGCUAGUAAUCGCGGAUCAGCAUGUCGCGGUGAAUACGUUCCGGGUCUUGUACACACCGCCCGUCACACCAUGGGAGUGGGUUUUACCGAAGUAGUUAGCCUAACCGUAAGGAGGGCGAUUACCACGGUAGGAUUCAUGACUGGGGGUGAAGUCGUAACAAGGUAA